Long non-coding RNA from Bubalus bubalis (water buffalo), 573 nucleotides. RefSeq lists it as uncharacterized. NCBI's taxonomy places the organism in Eukaryota, Metazoa, Chordata, Mammalia, Artiodactyla, Bovidae. The transcript has 2 exons. The record is from RefSeq and is a predicted model, not a curated record.
CCUCCCUCUUGUUAGGGACGGCCCAGAGCUUUUCUUGGCAGCUCCAGCCCAGUGAGUCUGAUGUGGGCUCAGAGGAGCCUGACUCACUGGGGCCAGAGGGUCAGGCCGGGUGGACGGGAGUCAGGAGACACAGCUUCUCUGGGCCCUCUGCAGACUGUCUGGGGUUAGAUGGCUGUUGGCCAGCAUGCUGGGGGGCUGCAUCUUUCUAGGCUCUUCUGCAGGGCCAAGCCUGGAGCCUGCAGCUGGGAAUUUAACCAGGGCCCUCCGCUGGAAGUCUCAAGACUCUACGUGGGGCAGAGGGGAGACUGCUGCCACAUCUUAAGGACACUCAAGCAGCUUUAGGAAUUUCUCAUGGAGGGGAACUGAGAUCUCUUGCCAAGAACCAGCAUCAGCUCACCAGCUAAGUCACCUUGAGAGUGGGUCCUCCAGCCCUGGCCAAGCCUUCAGAUGAGUCCUGCUGACAUCCUGACUGCUGUCUUAUUAGAGACCUUAAGUCAGAGUGACACAGUUGUGCUGCUCCUGGAUUCCUGGAUAAGACAUUCUGAGAAUAAUAAAAGUUUAUUGUUGUUUUAA